Molecule: ribosomal RNA, 253 nt
Filed under: uncultured bacterium
Lineage: Bacteria
Description: partial 16S ribosomal RNA
Rfam family: Bacterial small subunit ribosomal RNA
Source: RNAcentral
UACGUAGGUGGCAAGCGUUGUCCGGAAUUAUUGGGCGUAAAGCGUACGCAGGCGGUUUCUUAAGUCUGAUGUGAAAGCCCACGGCUCAACCGUGGAGGGUCAUUGGAAACUGGGGAACUUGAGUACAGAAGAGGAGAGUGGAAUUCCACGUGUAGCGGUGAGAUGCGUAGAGAUGUGGAGGAACACCAGUGGCGAAGGCGACUCUCUGGUCUGUAACUGACGCUGAGGUACGAAAGCGUGGGGAGCGAACAGG